RNAcentral lists this small RNA (686 nucleotides) under Histoplasma capsulatum G186AR. Its description in RNAcentral is "hypothetical RNA". Lineage: Eukaryota; Fungi; Ascomycota; Eurotiomycetes; Onygenales; Ajellomycetaceae. The record is from RNAcentral.
GCCAGCCAGGAAUAGAUAUUGAUUUCUUUAUGGAUUUCUUUUGCUUGUUAAAUACUUUCUCCCAUGUGCGAAAUACCCUAUUAAUACUUUUAGCUGUCUUCCCGUAUACCCCAAUUCAUACAGUCCAACAGCAAAAAUAAAAAAUAAUAUAAUAUCCAUCCGUCCAAUCUAAUCUAAUCCACUCACGGAGACCACAUCACCACCGAAGCAGAAAGGAGACAAACCCAAGGACGGAAUACAACCACCUCUUUUUUUUUUUUUAAAAAAAAAAAAACAGAAAGAAAUAAAGAAAGAAUCCAUAACCCAAAACUAUACACCAUGGCCUUCCAAUCCGCCCCGCAACCCCUCCCCCCAACCACAAUCCACCGCUCCAGCUCAAAAACCCACCGCAUCUCCCCCUCAGUCGCCCACGACUUUCUCUCCGCCUACCUCGACCGAGCCGCCACAGACCCCAGCCUACAACCCGACUCCGCCCUCUCCACUCACGGGCCCGUCUCCGCAAACGCAGGCUCCGCGCCAAACCUCGUCAUCCACAAUUUGAAGCGCGUCCAGGCGGGAUUAGCGGGGGAGGUACUGGGGAGGGAUUUGACACUUGCGAGGUUGGAUGGGGAGGGCGGCGGGCCGGUAUUUGCGUUGAAAUCACGAGAGGUUGGAGGGGAUGGAGAAGAUUGGGGUGGGGACGGGAG